Molecule: ribosomal RNA, 497 nt
Filed under: uncultured bacterium
Lineage: Bacteria
Description: partial 16S ribosomal RNA
Rfam family: Bacterial small subunit ribosomal RNA
Source: RNAcentral
GAUGAACGCUGGCGGCGUGCCUAAUACAUGCAAGUCGAGCGAACGGACGAGAAGCUUGCUUCUCUGAUGUUAGCGGCGGACGGGUGAGUAACACGUGGAUAACCUACCUAUAAGACCGGGAUAACUUCGGGAAACCGGAGCUAAUACCGGAUGAUAUUUUGAACCGCAUGGUUCAAAAGUGAAAGACGGUCUUGCUGUCACUUAUAGAUGGAUCCGCGCUGCAUUAGCUAGUUGGUAAGGUAACGGCUUACCAAGGCAACGAUGCAUAGCCGACCUGAGAGGGUGAUCGGCCACACUGGAACUGAGACGCGGUCCAGACUCCUACGGGAGGCAGCAGUAGGGAAUCUUCCGCAAUGGGCGAAAGCCUGACGGAGCAACGCCGCGUGAGUGAUGAAGGUCUUCGGAUCGUAAAACUCUGUUAUUAGGGAAGAACAUAUGUGUAAGUAACUGUGCACAUCUUGACGGUACCUAAUCAGAAAGCCACGGCUAACUACGUG